RNAcentral lists this ribosomal RNA (1372 nucleotides) under metagenome. RNAcentral describes it as "bacterial SSU rRNA". It matches the Rfam family "Bacterial small subunit ribosomal RNA". The record is from RNAcentral.
AUGAACGCUAGUGGUAUGCUUAACACAUGCAAGUCGAAUGAUAAAGCUUAUUUAUAAGCUAAGUCAUGGCGAACGGGUGAGUAUAUUAUAAAAAGAUACCUUAGAGUUUGGAAUAAUUACGUUUAGGCGUAAGAAUACCGAAUAUUUAUAAAGAAAGGUUUGCGCCUUUUGCUCUUUGAUUUUUUUUAUAUAGUAUUAGAUAGUUGGUAGAGUAACGGUUUACCAAGUCGAUGAUGCUUAGUUGGUCUUAACGGAUGUACAACCACAUUGGAACUGAGACAAGGUCCAAACUCUUUCGAGAGUCUGCAGUGAGGAAUAUUGGACAAUGAACGGAAGUUUGAUCCAGCAAUACCACAUAGAUGAAAGAAGAUUAUGUCGUAAAGUCUUGAUAUUGNAUAAAAUUAUGAUAUUUUNCANUAGAAUAGUCCUGGCUAAGAUUCGUGCCAGCAGCCGCGGAAAUACGGGAAGGGCAAGCGUUAUUCAUCAUGAUUGGGCGUAAAGGGUUAGUAGGUGGUUUAAUAAAUUGGAGAUUAAAGAUUAAAGCUUAACUUUAAAGUUUCUCCAAUAUUUUUUUACUAGAGUUUAAAAGAAGAUAUCUGAAUUUUUAAAGUAACGAUAAAAUGUUGAGAUAUUAAGAGGAAAGCCAAUGGCGAAGGCAGAUAUCUUUUUUAAUACUGACACUGAGGAACGAAAGCUUAGGGAGCAAAAGGGAUUAGAGACCCCUGUAGUCUAAGCCGUAAACGAUGUAUAUUAAAUAUUAGGUUUGAAAAAAAUUUAGUAUUAAAGCUAACGCGUUAAAUAUACCGCCUGAGGAGUACGGUCGCAAGAUUAAAACUCAAAGGAUUUGACGGAAGUUUAAAAGAACAGUGGAGCAUGUGGUUUAAUGCGAUAAUACGCGCUGAAUCUUACCAAUUCUUGAAUAUAAUUAGAUUUUUCUAAUAACAGGUGUUGCAUGGCUGUCGUCAGUUUAUACCGUGAGGUUAUAUAAACGAAACCCUCUUUUUAGUUAAUUGGUUUAUAAAGUCGCUAUAAAUCUAAUUUUUUUCUAAAAUAUGAUUAAUGAAAAUUAAUGGAAGUGAGGAUGACGUCAAGUACGUAUGGCUCUUAUGAAUUGGGCUACUCAUGUGCUACAAAGGUAUCUACAAAAAGGAGCGAUUGCGUGAGCAGAAGCAAAUCUAUAAAAGAUAUCUCAGUCCGGAUUAUAGGCUGUAAUUCGCCUAUAUGAAGUUGGAAUUGUUAGUAAUCGUAGAUCAGAACGCUACGGUGAAUUUUUAAAUAAACUUUGUACAAACCGCCCGUCACGCUAGGAGAGAAAAGUUAGUUGUAAAGAAAUGAAGAUUAAUUGUUCAAUCGUAGCGAAGUCGCAACAAGG